GCCCGGAUGGUGGAAUCUGGUAGACACACGGGACUUAAAAUCCCGAGGACCCGGAAGGGUCCGUGCCGGUUCAAGUCCGGCUCCGGGCACCA
This 92-nucleotide transfer RNA is filed under the name Deltaproteobacteria bacterium. Its description in RNAcentral is "tRNA-Leu". It matches the Rfam family "tRNA". From Rfam's summary of the family: Transfer RNA (tRNA) molecules are approximately 80 nucleotides in length. The record is from RNAcentral. Lineage: Bacteria; Pseudomonadati; Myxococcota; Myxococcia.